This 26-nucleotide non-coding RNA is filed under the name Homo sapiens (human). The record is from RNAcentral. Lineage: Eukaryota; Metazoa; Chordata; Mammalia; Primates; Hominidae.
UCCAGAGUCACUGGCUGCGUCCUACA